Molecule: ribosomal RNA, 687 nt
Filed under: Triticum aestivum (bread wheat)
Lineage: Eukaryota; Viridiplantae; Streptophyta; Magnoliopsida; Poales; Poaceae
Description: partial small subunit ribosomal RNA
Source: RNAcentral
AUGAUUGACACACUUUGUCCCAUCAUGAGCUGGAACAUCCAAGGUUUAAACACGCCGGCGCAUCGUGCUGUAGUUUGCGAGACAGCAGAAGCACAUAGGUUAGCCGUCCUCUGCCUCCAGGAGACUAAAAUCAAAGCCUGGAAUUGCCCUCUGGUCAAGGAGGUCGGCGGAGCACGACUAGCUGACUAUGUAGUGCUUCCCACCUCCGGCACCAGGGGCGGCGCUGCAAUAUUCUGGCAUAGUAGUGUAGUAGAUGUGCAAUCGCUUGCUGUCGGCCAGUUCUCCAUCACCACACAUGUUACCUUACGGGCUAGUUCAACACAAUUCUGGUUGACCAUGGUGUACAGCCCCAUCGAUGACAGCAGAAAGGAGGAGUUCUUAUCGGAGAUAGCUAGGACGGCGCCGCCACAAAAUGAUCCCUGGCUCAUAAACGACGAUUUCAACCUCAUAUAUAAAGCUAGUGACAAGAACAAUAUCAACAUCAACUGUAGAAUGAUGGGUAGAUUUCGUGCGGUGAUCGACGCUGCAGGACUAUGGGAGAUUAGAUGCAAAAACCGUUGUUACACAUGGAGCAACGAGCGUGUAGUUCUAACACUAGUCAGCAUCGACAAGUUUUUCUGCAGCAAUGCUUGGGACAACCUUUUCCCAACCUUCCUCCUCCACGCCACUGUUGGAAAUAUGCCCUAG